CCCAGGAUUGUUAGCUACUGAGUGGCACAUCUUCGGUACUUAUGAUUCGUGGGGGACUCAGGCAGAGGUAAAAGUGUGUUCUAACGUGCUUGAUCUGCUGAGACCAAGGAUGACCAAUGACUCAGAAGGGAAAAUGGGAUUUAAACACCCAAAGAUCAUGGGGAAUUUCAGAGGUCAUGCCCUACCUGGAACCUUCUUUUUUAUUAUUGGUCUUUGGUGGUGUACAAAGAGUAUUCUGAAGUAUAUCUACAAAAAGCAAAAGCGAACCUGCUACCUUGGUUCCAAAACAUUAUUCUAUCGAUUGGAAAUUUUGGAGGGAAUUACAAUAGUUGGCAUGGCUUUAACUGGCAUGGCUGGGGAGCAGUUUAUUCCUGGAGGGCCCCAUCUGAUGUUAUAUGACUAUAAACAGGGUCACUGGAACCAACUCCUGGGCUGGCAUCAUUUCACCAUGUAUUUCUUCUUUGGGCUGUUGGGUGUGGCAGAUAUCUUAUGUUUCACCAUCAGUUCACUUCCUGUGUCCUUAACCAAGUUAAUGUUGUCAAAUGCCUUAUUUGUGGAGG
RNAcentral lists this small RNA (560 nucleotides) under Pongo abelii (Sumatran orangutan). RNAcentral describes it as "processed transcript". Lineage: Eukaryota; Metazoa; Chordata; Mammalia; Primates; Hominidae. The record is from RNAcentral.